This 1950-nucleotide ribosomal RNA is filed under the name human gut metagenome. Its description in RNAcentral is "bacterial LSU rRNA". It matches the Rfam family "Bacterial large subunit ribosomal RNA", at positions 1 to 1977 of the family's 2925-position model. The record is from RNAcentral.
UAAAGCAAGAAAGGGCGUAUGGGGAAUGCCUAGGCACACUCCGGCGAAGAAGGACGCAGCAAACAGCGAAAUGCGACGGUGAGCGGUAAGCACGUGAAGAGCCGUCGAUAUCCGAAUGGGGGAACCCACACGGAGUCAUAUCCGUGUAUCACAUGUCGAAUACAUAGACAUGAUGAGGCGAGACGCAGGGAACUGAAACAUCUAAGUACCUGCAGGAAGAGAAAAUAAGAAUGAUUUUCUGAGUAGCGGCGAGCGAAAGGGAAAGAGCCCAAACCGAUCUGAGGAUCGGGGUAGUAGGAUCAUCGAGAAAUCUGACAGAGGAUCAUAGAGGAAUCACAUGGGAAGGUGAGCGAGAGAGGGUGAGAGCCCCGUACUCGAAAUGAGAGACUGGAGAGAGAUGACACCUGAGUAGGGCGGGACACGAGAAAUCCUGUCUGAAUCAGCCGGGACCAUCCGGCAAGGCUAAAUACGAGAGAGUGACCGAUAGUGAACCAGUACCGUGAGGGAAAGGUGAAAAGAACCCCGGGAGGGGAGUGAAAGAGAACCUGAAACCAUAUGCCUACAAGAAGUCAGAGCCCGUUAAAGGGUGAUGGCGUGCCUUUUGUAGAAUGAACCGGCGAGUUACUGUAUGGAGCGAGGUUAAGCAGGAUAUGCGGAGCCGAAGCGAAAGCGAGUCUUAAGAGGGCGCGAGUUGCAUGCAGUAGACCCGAAACCGGGUGAUCUAGCCAUGACCAGGUUGAAGUUGGGGUAAAACCCGAUGGAGGACCGAACCGACCCCCGUUGAAACGUUGGCGGAUGAGUUGUGGCUAGGGGUGAAAUUCCAAUCGAACCCGGAGAUAGCUGGUUCUCCCCGAAAUAGCUUUAGGGCUAGCGUCGGAAAGAACCUUAGUGAAGGUAGAGCACUGAAUGUGUGAUGGCCCCAUCCCGGGGUACUGAAUACAAUCAAACUGCGAAUGUCAUUAAGGAUGUCCGGCAGUCAGACUGUGAGUGAUAAGGUCCAUGGUCAAGAGGGAAACAGCCCAGACCGCCAGUUAAGGUCCCAAAAUACAGGCUAAGUGGAAAAGGAUGUGGGGAUGCCCAGACAACUAGGAGGUUGGCUCAGAAGCAGCCAUCCUUUAAAGAGUGCGUAACAGCUCACUAGUCGAAUGACUCUGCGCCGAUAAUUUACCGGGGCUAAGCAUACUACCGAAGCUAUGGAUCCCAAGGGAUGGUAGGGGAGCGUUCCAUGAACGGAGAAGUACGACCGAAAGGACGUGUGGAGAUCAUGGAAGAGAGAAUGCCGGUGUGAGUAGCGGAACGUGGGUGAGAAUCCCACGCACCGAAAACCCAAGGUUUCCAGAGGAAGGUUCGUCCGCUCUGGGUAAGUCGGGACCUAAGGCGAGGCCGAAAGGCGUAGUCGAUGGACAACAGGUAGAGAUUCCUGUACCCGUAUAUAUGUGAAGGAAUGACGGAGAGAGGAAGCUGCAGCCAGCGGCUGGAAGAGCUGGUGCAAGCGAGAUAUCGGGAUGGCAGGCAAAUCCACCAUCCGAAACGAGAAGGCGUGAAGCGUACGGAAAGCUACGGCGAGUACGGAAGGCAGUGGAGGAACUUCCAAGAAAAGUUUCUAACGUUAAGUAUAUAUGGCCCGUACCGAAAAUGGACACACAUGGGUGAGGAGAGAAUCCUAAGGUGAGCGAGAGAACUAUAGCUAAGGAACUCUGCAAAAUGACUCCGUAACUUAGGGAGAAGGAGUGCUCAUAGAGAUAUGAGCCGCAGUGAAACGGCCCAAGCGACUGUUUACCAAAAACACAGCUCUCUGCUAAGCCGCAAGGCGAAGUAUAGGGGGUGACGCCUGCCCGGUGCUGGAAGGUUAAGGGGAGGGGUUAACGCAAGUGAAGCCCUGAACUGAAGCCCCAGUAAACGGCGGCCGUAACUAUAACGGUCCUAAGGUAGCGAAAUUCCUUGUCAGGU